UACGGAGGGAGCUAGCGUUGUUCGGAAUUACUGGGCGUAAAGGGCGCGUAGGCGGUCAGCACAAGUCAGUUGUGAAAUCUCCGGGCUUAACUCGGAAAGGUCAACUGAUACUGUGCGACUAGAGUGCAGAAGGGGCAACUGGAAUUCUCGGUGUAGCGGUGAAAUGCGUAGAUAUCGAGAGGAACACCUGCGGCGAAGGCGGGUUGCUGGGCUGACACUGACGCUGAUGCGCGAAAGCGUGGGGAGCAAACAGG
This 254-nucleotide ribosomal RNA is filed under the name uncultured bacterium. RNAcentral describes it as "partial 16S ribosomal RNA". It matches the Rfam family "Bacterial small subunit ribosomal RNA", at positions 524 to 776 of the family's 1533-position model. The record is from RNAcentral.